RNAcentral lists this ribosomal RNA (601 nucleotides) under uncultured bacterium. RNAcentral's name for it is "bacterial SSU rRNA". It matches the Rfam family "Bacterial small subunit ribosomal RNA", at positions 338 to 943 of the family's 1533-position model. The record is from RNAcentral.
CCUACGGGAGGCAGCAGUGGGGAAUAUUGCACAAUGGGCGCAAGCCUGAUGCAGCGACGCCGCGUGAGGGAUGACGGCCUUCGGGUUGUAAACCUCUUUCAGUAGGGAAGAAGCGAAAGUGACGGUACCUGCAGAAGAAGCGCCGGCUAACUACGUGCCAGCAGCCGCGGUAAUACGUAGGGCGCAAGCGUUAUCCGGAAUUAUUGGGCGUAAAGAGCUCGUAGGCGGUUUGUCGCGUCUGCCGUGAAAGUCCGGGGCUCAACUCCGGAUCUGCGGUGGGUACGGGCAGACUAGAGUGAUGUAGGGGAGACUGGAAUUCCUGGUGUAGCGGUGAAAUGCGCAGAUAUCAGGAGGAACACCGAUGGCGAAGGCAGGUCUCUGGGCAUUAACUGACGCUGAGGAGCGAAAGCAUGGGGAGCGAACAGGAUUAGAUACCCUGGUAGUCCAUGCCGUAAACGUUGGGCACUAGGUGUGGGGGACAUUCCACGUUUUCCGCGCCGUAGCUAACGCAUUAAGUGCCCCGCCUGGGGAGUACGGCCGCAAGGCUAAAACGUCAAAGAGUAGUAGCGUCGNGAGCGCGACGACGACGACGACGGAGGAG